Molecule: transfer RNA, 80 nt
Filed under: Nicotiana tabacum (common tobacco)
Lineage: Eukaryota; Viridiplantae; Streptophyta; Magnoliopsida; Solanales; Solanaceae
Description: tRNA-Leu (TAG) (tRNA-Leu-TAG-7-1)
Rfam family: tRNA
About the family: Transfer RNA (tRNA) molecules are approximately 80 nucleotides in length. Their secondary structure includes four short double-helical elements and three loops (D, anti-codon, and T loops).
Source: Rfam by way of RNAcentral
GACGGUUUGGCCGAGUGGUCUAAGGCGCCAGAUUUAGGCUCUGGUCCGAAAGGGCGUGGGUUCAAAUCCCGCAGCCGUCA